Molecule: unclassified non-coding RNA, 217 nt
Filed under: uncultured Chytridiomycota
Lineage: Eukaryota; Fungi; Chytridiomycota
Description: sequence contains ITS1
Source: RNAcentral
CCAAAAUUCUAAAGGUGCCUAGUUUACUAGGAUACCUGGGUAUUGAAAUAUAUACCACAUUUACCUUGUGUGCAAUGUAAUUUGUAUUGAUGGAUUUUUCAUCUGGGUUUUUUGCUUGGAUGGGAAGUCUGUAUAAACAUUUUAAGUUUUCUUAAGUCUGAAUAGUUUUUUUACAUGUUGAUAUUUUGCUUUAGUAAAAUAUUUAAAAUUGUUAAAA